Molecule: ribosomal RNA, 446 nt
Filed under: uncultured bacterium
Lineage: Bacteria
Description: partial 16S ribosomal RNA
Rfam family: Bacterial small subunit ribosomal RNA
Source: RNAcentral
CCUACGGGUGGCAGCAGUCGAGAAUCAUUCACAAUGGGGGAAACCCUGAUGGUGCGACGCCGCGUGGGGGAAUGAAGGUCUUCGGAUUGUAAACCCCUGUCAUGUGGGAGCAAUUUAAAAAGAUAGUACCCCAAGAGGAAGAGCCGGCUAACUUUGUGCCAGCAGCCGCGGUAAUACAGAGGUCUCAAGCGUUGUUCGGAAGCACUGGGCGUAAAGCGUGCGUAGGCUGUUUCUUAAGUCGCGUGGGAAAGGCGCGGGCUCAACCCGCGGACGGAACAUGAUAGUGCGAGACUAGAGUAAUGGAGGGGGAACAGGAAUUCUCGGUGUAGCAGUGAAAUGCGUAGAUAUCGAGAGGAACACUCGUGGCGAAGGCGGGUUCCUGGACAUUAACUGACGCUGAGGCACGAAGGCCAGGGGAGCGAAAGGGAUUAGAUACCCGGGUAGUC